Molecule: ribosomal RNA, 579 nt
Filed under: Pyrenula ochraceoflavens
Lineage: Eukaryota; Fungi; Ascomycota; Eurotiomycetes; Pyrenulales; Pyrenulaceae
Description: partial large subunit ribosomal RNA
Rfam family: Eukaryotic large subunit ribosomal RNA
Source: RNAcentral
GGAUUGCCUUAGUAACGGCGAGUGAAGCGGCAACAGCUCAAAUUUGAAAUCUGGCCCGUCUUCGGGUCCGAGUUGUAAUUUGUAGAGGAUGCUUCGGGCAAGGCUGCGGUCCAAGUUCUUUGGAACAGGACGUCAGAGAGGGUGAGAAUCCCGUCUUCAACCGCGCGCCGCGUCCAUGUGAAGCUCCUUCAACGAGUCGGGUUGUUUGGGAAUGCAGCUCAAAAUGGGUGGUAAAUUUCAUCUAAAGCUAAAUACCGGCCAGAGACCGAUAGCGCACAAGUAGAGUGAUCGAAAGAUGAAAAGCACUUUGAAAAGAGAGUUAAACAGCAUGUGAAAUUGUUGAAAGGGAAGCGCUUGCAGCCAGACUUGUGGGCGGUGAUUCAGCCGUUCUUCUGAACGGUGCACUUUGCCGUCUCCAGGCCAGCAUCGGUUUGGGCAGCCAGUUAAAGGCCCGGGGAAUGUAUCAACCUCUCGGGGUUGACUUAUAGCCCCGGGUGCCAUGUGGCUCGUCUAGACCGAGGAACGCGCUCUGCACGGAUGCUGGCGUAAUGGCUGUAAGCGACCCGUCUUGAACCACGG